This 29-nucleotide non-coding RNA is filed under the name Homo sapiens (human). Lineage: Eukaryota; Metazoa; Chordata; Mammalia; Primates; Hominidae. The record is from RNAcentral.
UUUCAAGUGAUUCUCCUGUCUCAGCCUCC